This 131-nucleotide small nucleolar RNA is filed under the name Castor canadensis (American beaver). RNAcentral describes it as "Small nucleolar RNA SNORA51 (ENSCCNG00000009437.1)". It matches the Rfam family "Small nucleolar RNA SNORA51". Rfam says of the family: ACA51 is a member of the H/ACA class of snoRNA that guide the sites of modification of uridines to pseudouridines. The record is from Rfam by way of RNAcentral. Lineage: Eukaryota; Metazoa; Chordata; Mammalia; Rodentia; Castoridae.
GAACUCCUGGCGAUUACCACAGGCUGUGUUCUCACACUGACUGUACAGAAAGAGGAGGGAAAGUAAACCUACCCCACAUACAACUCAACCCACACCUGAGCCUAGCCUUUAUUCUGAAUGGGGAGACAUAG